GACGGUACUUGAUGAAUAAGCCACGGCUAAUUCCGUGCCAGCAGCCGCGGUAAUACGGGAGUGGCAAGCGUUAUCCGGAAUUAUUGGGCGUAAAGCGUCCGCAGGCGGCCCAACAAGUCUGCUGUUAAAAAGUGGAGCUUAACUCCAUCCAUGGCAGUGGAAACUGUUGGGCUCGAGUGUGGUAGGGGCAGAGGGAAUUCCCCGGUGUAGCGGUGAAAUGCGUAGAUAUCGGGAAGAACACCAGUGGCGAAGGCGCUCUGCUGGGCCAUCACUGACGCUCAUGGACGAAAGCCAGGGGAGCGAAAGGGAUUAGAUACCCCUGUAGUCCUGGCCGUAAACGAUGAACACUAGGUGUCGGGGGAAUCGACCCCUCCGGUGUCGUAGCCAACGCGUUAAGUGUUCCGCCUGGGGAGUACGCACGCAAGUGUGAAACUCAAAGGAAUUGACGGGGGCCCGCACAAGCGGUGGAGUAUGUGGUUUAAUUCGAUGCAACGCGAAGAACCUUACCAGGGUUUGACAUCCUGCGAAUCUCUUGGAAACUUGAGAGUGCCUUCGGGAGCGCAGUGACAGGUGGUGCAUGGCUGUCGUCAGCUCGUGUCGUGAGAUGUUGGGUUAAGUCCCGCAACGAGCGCAACCCACGUCUUUAGUUGCCUGCAUUUAGUUGGGCACUCUAGAGAGACCGCCGGUGAUAAACCGGAGGAAGGUGUGGAUGACGUCAAGUCAUCAUGCCCCUUACAUCCUGGGCUACACACGUACUACAAUGCUACGGACAAAGGGCAGCAAGUUCGCGAGGACAAGCAAAUCCCAUAAACCGUGGCUCAGUUCAGAUCGUAGGCUGCAACUCGCCUACGUGAAGGAGGAAUCGCUAGUAAUCGCAGGUCAGCAUACUGCGGUGAAUACGUUCCCGGGCCUUGUACACACCGCCCGUCACACCAUGGAAGUUGGCCACGCCCGAAGCCGUUACUCCAACCCUUGUGGAGGAGGACGUCGAAGGUGGGGCUGAUGACUGGGGUG
RNAcentral lists this ribosomal RNA (1014 nucleotides) under uncultured bacterium. RNAcentral describes it as "bacterial SSU rRNA". It matches the Rfam family "Bacterial small subunit ribosomal RNA", at positions 471 to 1482 of the family's 1533-position model. The record is from RNAcentral.